This 225-nucleotide ribosomal RNA is filed under the name Millerozyma farinosa. Its description in RNAcentral is "partial 26S rRNA". It matches the Rfam family "Eukaryotic large subunit ribosomal RNA", at positions 1623 to 1848 of the family's 3401-position model. RNAcentral also lists the same sequence under 1 other name. Lineage: Eukaryota; Fungi; Ascomycota; Pichiomycetes; Serinales; Debaryomycetaceae. The record is from RNAcentral.
ACUUGGAUAUGGAUUCUUCACGGCAACGUAACUGAAUGUGGAGACGUCGGCGUGAGCCCUGGGAGGAGUUAUNUNUUCUUCUUAACAGCUUAUCACCCUGGAAUUGGUUUAUCCGGAGAUAGGGUNUUAUGGCUGGAAGAGUGCAUUANUUUUGAUGCAUCCGGUGCGCUUACGACGGUCCUUGAAAAUCCACAGGAAGGAAUAGUUUUCAUACAAAGUCGUACU